AUUUUUCUCUGGAUUUAUACGUGGUCUUGGUGUCAACUUCCUAAAGCAUCCUACCUAGAGUUACUCGUGUUUUCUGAGGAAUCUUCCCCGGGUACAGGUUAAUUAGAUCUCGAGGCUAGAUUUUUGUAGGCCUAAAAACAAUGAUGGCGUUGUUUAUAUAGCUGUGAAGGUGGAUCGAAUGUUGCUGCUGUUUAUAAAAUCAUGCGAGGCAGCACGGAACAGAUUUAGACUAUAAUUUGAGUGGAACAUUCUACUUAAAACACUUUCUAAUUUGGCAUAUUUGCCUCCACAUGACAGACAACCAUAGCCUAAACAUUGACUUGUCAUUACCUGAAUGUGUCACCAGCUAGUUAGCUAGCCUCUGGUUAGAUUGAUUGCAACAGCUUGGUGGUGAAUGAAUGUCAGAUAACCAUGAAUGUUUGUAGUAGAAAACGUAUUGCUGAAUCCAAAUCCGGAUUACAGUUUUCACAUUUUGAGAAAGGAGAAGAAUGCCAUUCUUUCGCGAGCAUUCUUUGGUGUGCCCGCGGUGGCCUCAGAACACGGGCAUCAUCUUGGGACCCAUGAAAUGUAGUCAACUCUGCGUGUGAAUAAUGAGCGUGUGGAACUGUUGGAGCUGGUCCUUCACAUAGGGGAAGAGUUGCUGAAAUGCGGACAAAAAGUGUCUGCUGAAAUUACGCCCAGAGAGACACUGAAACAAGCCCAAGUGUUUGGUGGCUCCUCUACGCGUUAAGGCACUGAGGUGUCUGUUGUUCUGGGCCUCCCAGGGUGGUCAGAUUCCUAAGGGCUGGAGUGAAAUGAACAGCAUCAGGGACACUCACGGUACCACUGCAGUCUACCAGCCUCCGGACCAGUUCGACCCGGACCAGUUCGACCAGGACCAGUUCGACCUGGACCAGUUCGACCAGGACCAGUUCGACCAGGACCAAUUCCACCCAGACCAGUUCGACCCGG
Esox lucius (northern pike) is the source of this 951-nucleotide long non-coding RNA. The record is from Ensembl. Lineage: Eukaryota; Metazoa; Chordata; Actinopteri; Esociformes; Esocidae.